RNAcentral lists this ribosomal RNA (497 nucleotides) under uncultured bacterium. RNAcentral describes it as "partial 16S ribosomal RNA". It matches the Rfam family "Bacterial small subunit ribosomal RNA", at positions 28 to 507 of the family's 1533-position model. The record is from RNAcentral.
GACGAACGCUGGCGGCGUGCCUAAUACAUGCAAGUUGAGCGAUGAAGAUUGGUGCUUGCCCCAAUUUGAAGAGCAGCGAACGGGUGAGUAACGCGUGGGGAAUCUGCCUUUGAGCGGGGGACAACAUUUGGAAACGAAUGCUAAUACCGCAUAACAACUUUAAACAUAAGUUUUAAGUUUGAAAGAUGCAAUUGCAUCACUCAAAGAUGAUCCCGCGUUGUAUUAGCUAGUUGGUGAGGUAAAGGCUCACCAAGGCGAUGAUACAUAGCCGACCUGAGAGGGUGAUCGGCCACAUUGGGACUGAGACACGGCCCAAACUCCUACGGGAGGCAGCAGUAGGGAAUCUUCGGCAAUGGACGAAAGUCUGACCGAGCAACGCCGCGUGAGUAAAGAAGGUUUUCGGAUCGUAAAACUCUGUUGGUAGAGAAGAACGUUGGUGAGAGUGGAAAGCUCAUCAAGUGACGGUAACUACCCAGAAAGGGACGGCUAACUACGUG